This 492-nucleotide ribosomal RNA is filed under the name uncultured bacterium. RNAcentral's name for it is "partial 16S ribosomal RNA". It matches the Rfam family "Bacterial small subunit ribosomal RNA", at positions 29 to 507 of the family's 1533-position model. The record is from RNAcentral.
AGUGAACGCUGGCGGUAGGCCUAACCCAUGCAAGUCGAACGACAACACAGUAAGAGCUUGCUCUUACUGGAGGCGAGUCUCGGACGGGUGAGGACAACAUCGGAAUCUACUUUUUCGUGGGGGCUCACGUAGGGAAACUCACGCUAAUACCGCAUACGACCUUCGCGUGAAAGCAGGGGAUCUUCGGACCUUGCGCGAUUAAAUGAGCCGAUGUCGCAUUAGCUAGUUGGCGGGGUAAAGGCCCACCAAGGCGACGAUCCGUCGCUGGUCUGAGAGGAUGAUCAGCCACACUGUAACAGAGACACGCACCAGAUUCCUACGGGAGGCAGCAGUAGAGAAAAUUGGACAAUAGGCGAGGGCCUGAGCCAGCCAUACGGCGUGGGUGAAGAAGGCCUUCCGGUGGUAAAGGCCUGUUGUUGGGGAAGUUAAGCAGCACCUUAAUACCCCGCUGUUCUGACAGUACCCAAAGAAUAAGCACCGGCUAACUUCGUG